RNAcentral lists this long non-coding RNA (460 nucleotides) under Brassica napus (rape). Its description in RNAcentral is "long non-coding RNA (BNAP_LNC002324)". The record is from RNAcentral. Lineage: Eukaryota; Viridiplantae; Streptophyta; Magnoliopsida; Brassicales; Brassicaceae.
UAGUAUAGCGAUGGUAGGUUGGUCACCUACUAUAUAUAAAAGCAAAAGAUAUUAAUGAUCUUCUUUGUCAAAAAAAAAAAGAUAUUAAUGAUCUUAUCCAUCCAAAAACUGAAUUUUAAGUGGUUGAAGAACUGGUUCACAUAAUCACAUGCAUGCCCGACUAUAUAUGUUUAUACUACUAAAAAUCUCCGUCAACAUACAAAUGAAUGAGAAUUGAAAACUACCUAAGGUAAUACAGCUUGCGUUUUCUUUAAUUAUGUUUAGUGUGUUUAAAUUAUGUGAAGACUAAAACUUUAAAAACUAAUAGUGAGAAAGGCAUAACCGUCGUCUGAGUCACUCAUACGUCAAGCUUGAAAUUAUGAUCACAAGACUGAAACAAUGCAAGUCAAAUCCUAAGGUUUCUAUAUUACAUCAUAGAUUGUUGUCCGCUAUAGUCUGCUUAAGAAUGAAACCCCAACGU